AGAAAUUUCAUAUGUUAAAAAAAAUUUUCUUCCCAUCGGAAUAACUCCUUGGAGCAUUUUUUUUUUAUUAAGCCACAAUUAGAUAAUUUCUUGCAUAUUCUAAUGAAGAAAUAUUAAAGUAGAAUAUUAAGCUUAUAAAAAAAAAUCCAUACAAUACCAACCAAAUACAUUAUUCAAUCAAGGCCUACAGAUGCAAUCUACUUCUGGUUCAGUUGUCUCCAGAGGGAACUGUACUCUUACAAUUUCCAUUCGAGUUGAAGCCGUUCUCUUUGAUUUUGCCAUUAUCCUUUUCCUUCCCAUCUUCCUUAGGAGCUUUCUCUUCCUCUUGUUCUGCUUUCAACUUUGCUGCUUCUUCCUCAGACUUCUUUCUUGCUUCCUCCUCCUUUGCCUCCUCUAGAGCAGCAAUCAACUUCUUCAGACAAGUCUCUUCGUCUUCUUCUUCUGACUUUGGCAUCAAAUUCUCAGCAACAUCAGCUGGUGUCAUCUUCGUUUCCUCCAACAAAUUUUGAAUUUUCCCAAACAGUUCAUGGGAUUCGAUAUCCAGAUAAUUCUGAGCUAGAACCUUAAAUGCUUCGAAGCAACAGUAAGACAUUUCUA
This 597-nucleotide unclassified non-coding RNA is filed under the name Hevea brasiliensis (rubber tree). The record is from RNAcentral. Lineage: Eukaryota; Viridiplantae; Streptophyta; Magnoliopsida; Malpighiales; Euphorbiaceae.